UUUCCACACAUCCCAGAAAAAAGAGAAAGUAUGAUGACUCAAAUAACCACUCGUUCUGUCAACUAAAAACAGGAAACGCAGGCUCUGAAACACAGGGGCUCACCAAAAUUGGAGUUCAGGCUGGUGGUGGUGGUGUAGUGGUAUGGAGAGUAUUUUCUCGGCACCUUGUGUUCGAACAGCCCAGCCUACCUGAGUGUUGUUGCUGACCGUGUCCAUCCCUUUACAACCACAGCGUGUCCAUGUUCUGAUAGCUGCCUUUAGCCACAUCACAAAGCUCAAACUGUCUCAAAGCUGGUUCCUCGAACAUGACCGUGAGUUCACUGUACUCAAAUGAUCUCCACAGUCAUCAAAUCUCAAUCCAGUAAACUCCUUUGAGCUGUGUGCUGCUGAUGUGGAGCUGACAAAUCUGCAGCAACUGCCAGAUGCAUGAUGUCAAUGUGGACCAAACUGUGCAGCUAUUAGAGAGGCAGAACGGUGGCGUGGUGGUUCGCACGGUUACCUCACAGGAAGAGGGUCCUGAGUCCACCAUGAGGCCAGGGUGUUUCUGUGUGGAGUUUGCAUGUUCUCCCUGUGUUUGUUUGGGUUCUCUCUGGGUGCUCUGGCUUGAUCCAAAUGUCCAAAAACGUGGGGUUAGUUUUAUUGGAAACUCUAAAUUGCACAUAGGCGCGAAUGGUUGUCUGUGUUAGCCUUGCAGCGUGUCCAGGGUGUACCCUGCCUCUCGCCCUAAGACAGCCGGGAUAGGCUCCAGCAACCCUGAAAAAGGAUAAGCAGGAAUGGGUGAUGAAAUCAUCAAAAUGUUGUUUUUGUUAUUUAGAAAUAUAUUCUUCUUCUUGUUGUCCUAACGUCCUUGGGCAUAGUGAACUCUGGCACAUCUUUACUCUGAAACACUCGUCGAACUCGUCACACAUUCAAACUAAACUAAUUAGUUGUGUUUUGUUGCCUGAUCCCCAAAUUCCUUCAUUUCAAAACCUCUCGUGUUGCCUUUGUAUUACUUUCAAUUAAAUAUAGAUAUUAAACGAAGAACAAGGAAUUGCAUUGUAUUUGAUAAUUUGCACAGCAUUCUGACGUUGUUGGAAAUUGAGUUGUAAUAACGUGUUUGCUCACAUGUAGCUGAUGAUGACUUUGCUGUAGACGUAGACUGUUUAAAACUACUGCCAAAUAGCAGCAAAUAUUACAAACCUUUAAAAAAUAUAUAUAUCUAAGCAUCUUAAGAUGAAGACAUCUGAAAAGCUUAAGCAGUUUAACAUAUACAUUUGUACGAAGCCUUAGAAAACAUAUCAUAAGCCAUCAGGUGGAGAUAUAACAUACUGGUACAAUACCAGUGCAUCAGGUCCCUUGAUUCUGUGCUUUAGUUCUGAUCUUGAGGAUAGCAUCAACCCCUCAAAAAGCUGAACCUAUUCUGCCACGUUGGAACAGGAUGUGUUUUAUCUCUGAUAUUCCUAGCAGUGACUUAGUGCUGUCACUGGUAGUUUAGUACUGUACACAAGAACAACCGCAUAGAGGCAGUAUUAGUGUUUAGUUAAACUGUGUGCAAAAUUUACAUGGGGUUAAAAAAACAUAAAAGCACAGACAGAGCUUUUUUCAGUGUUCUUUAAAAAGUGGGGUUAGAGACAGUGUCUUUAUAUUUACAGCAAAAAGUCUGACAUUUAGAAUCUGUUAAAUCUAGAACGAGGGUGUGACAGGUGUCGGCAGAAGCGAGGCUCCCUGCUUUUUUUUUUAUUUCAAUUUUUUGCUAAAGACGGCGGUUCAUUUCCUGCUUCCCUGUUUCACAACAGGUUGUUUUGUGUCAGCUGCUUACAAAAUGACACAGUUUGAAAUAUAUGUAAACAUAUAUUCUGCUCAAGGUGUCAAAAGAUUUCAUUUUUCUUUUACAAACAACUAAAACAGGUCUGUUGUUGUGUUCGUCUCUCUUUCUCUGUUAUGUAUCCUCCUUUGAUUGUCCUUUUUUUCUGGGCUCAGUUUUCCUCUUACUCUUUGCUUUGCCCUCCUAUGCCACCUGUCGUUGUUGAGACUACUGCUGUGCGUAACUUGUCAGGUGUUGGAUAUUAUUUAUGACCUUGUCUUGUGUCCCAACUGUGAAACGCCUGAUAAAACAUCUAUAUCUGCCACUAAUACAUAA
Astatotilapia calliptera (eastern happy) is the source of this 2119-nucleotide long non-coding RNA. The record is from Ensembl. NCBI's taxonomy places the organism in Eukaryota, Metazoa, Chordata, Actinopteri, Cichliformes, Cichlidae.